Molecule: non-coding RNA, 1415 nt
Organism: Pelobates cultripes (western spadefoot toad)
Lineage: Eukaryota; Metazoa; Chordata; Amphibia; Anura; Pelobatidae
Source: the annotation of a GenBank genome assembly
GGGGGGGGGGAAGAUAAAAAGCAGGCAUUAAUGAGAGAAGAAUUAAACUUAAACACAAAAUAAACUUAAAAUCUAAAAAAAAUGUGAUAAAAAUAAAAACAUGUGCAGGAAAUGAUAAGUAGCCAAAAAAACUUAGAGCAGCAUGAAUACAAUGUUUUUAUAAAAUAUAAAUAAUUGAUUGAAAAAUUGUAAUAAAAAAGAAAAUUACAAUAAUGAUUUUAGUCUCAUCUUUGAUUAUACAGAGAUCAGAAUAUUAAUGGAAAUCCAGAAAUAUAUGUUACUUUUAUGGUGUGUUAUGACAUAUUUUAAAUAUAAUACCUUAUAACAUUAGGGAGUAUUACCACAUGUUUAUCUUACUAGAUGUGGAACAUGCAAACACGUAAAAAGCAUAAAAAACAUUUAUAUUUACAGAACCUAAGCCCCUCACAUAUAUGUAAAGUGUGUAUAUUUAGUAGCAAAGAGACUUCUUUGAAUAAAAAGAAACACUUAGGGAAUAAAUGUCCCGUACAAGAAAUCUAUGAGGGCAAUAAACAUAGAAAUCCAUUGUGACCAAAAAAUAGAUUUCUUAAGAGGAAUAUCUAGUUGGAACUAAUAUCUUGUUGAGAAAUUAACCUUCUAUGUAAAUAAUAUAUUAGAGGAAGCACACUAUAUCUAUGUCUGCGUUAAGACCACCUGGCUCUAAGGAGCCCAAUUGAUGGAUCCAAAAAGUCUCUUCUUAAUGCCUGCUUUUUAUCUUCCCCUCCCUCUCCCCCCUUUUUCUUUGAUAUUUAAUAUGACAUGGACUUAUCAUGGACUCAAUGCACUACAAUGCCUUAUGGGAACUUUGAAAACCGCCAUAUUUGUAGUUGUGAGCCGAUAUGUGUGUUCUUUUUACACAUGAAUAGGAUGAACUCCGCCCACAACCUUGAUUGACACUGAAGACCUCCUAUACAAUUUGGAUACAUCAUUGUGAUUGACGGACGGCCAUCUUGGAAGGGGCAUUUGUGAUUGCAACACAGUCAAAACCGGAUUCAUCGCCAUCUUCUGUGUGGCGGCGUACUUCUGGCCCGGACUGCAGAGGAUUCAAACAGCUAUUAUUAUGUCUGUUUAAUGUUUUUUUGUACUUUUAUUGUAUUAAUAAUGUUGCUUACCCAUAUUACUAUAGUUUGUAUUCAUUUGAAGGAUGUUCGGCCAUCUUGGAUGAGGCAUUUUACACUGUAGUAUGGUCGAAACCGGAUGCGUCGCCAUUUUGAGUGUGGCAAUGUAUUUCCGGUUCGGACCACAUUAGGUUUAGUUAGUAAGUAACACACCUGUAUGUAUUUUUUUUUGUUGUGUUUGUAAGGUAUAUAAACAGCCAGGAGGUCAUCGUUACCUUAGACUGCACCUGAGGAAGACCUGUAUAGAGGUCGAAAUGUGUUGUGUUGCUGCUUCAGCUU